Molecule: long non-coding RNA, 1761 nt
Organism: Equus caballus (horse)
Lineage: Eukaryota; Metazoa; Chordata; Mammalia; Perissodactyla; Equidae
Source: Ensembl
AGGAAAAGCAGCGAGUUAGGCGUGGGGUAGAGGUGUGGGUGAGCUUCCCAGGCAGAGGCGGCAGCACAUGCACAGACUCUGUGGCAGGAGGGUCCAUGGCACCUCCAGGGAACUGAAAGCACGAGAGUGGCUGGGGCCUGGAGACUGAGGAGGGUCUGGAGUGGCUCCAAGUGUAAGCGGGGAACAGUCACACGGAAGCUUGCAAGAUCACUGACGACUCGGGUUUUAUCUAAACAGCCUAGUUACAGGACUCCAUAUGGUUCUGGAAAUACAAAUGUGAAAGGAACAGUCUUUGCUUUUUGGAGUCUACUGGAAGAGAUGGACAUACAAACUAACCUAACCUGACACACUAUUAGGGAAAGUUUCCAUAAGCUGCUGUGAGAGGAAGAAAAAAUACCAGGAAGAUUUUCCAAAGGAAGAGCCAUUGAAGGCUUGAAGGAAGAGUUGAGAUUGCCCAGACACAUGGGUCAACAUGUGUCAUAGAAGGCAGGCAUUAAAAACAUGGCAUAUUUGGAAGAGGGUCGUGAAUGAGUGGAGAAAGAUAAAAGUCUUGCAUCAGGAGGCUUUUUUAUUCCUCAGAGUCUGCAUUUUGGGAUGGAAAAUUGUGUUGGCUAUGCAAGGAGAGACACUAUGAAUGAGAAAUCAUCAGUGUAUCAGAAAACACGCAUCUCUAUGAUCUAUCCUGAAUCCAAAUAGGAAAAAAUGAAAUGAGUGCUUUUCCCCCAUUCAGAAAUCUUUUUUAUUGCACCAUGAAGAAAUAAAUGUCUACCAAAGGGAAAUGAAGAGGAGCUAAGCGGAGAAUCUAAUUGCCCACUUCAAUCACUCCCACACAAAAUGCCUGGCUAAAGGAUGGGCAGGCAGAGCAGCAGCAUUUUGGCAAAAAUUUUAAAUAAAAAGGGAAAAAAUUGUUCCAGCAGGAGUUCUGUAGAAAAAUGGAGACAGCUGCUGCAUUUUCUCCAGCCCGCUAUCUCUUUCAGCCAGACCAAAGACAAUCCAGCUCUUGGCUUAAUUAAUCACUUGCUGGUUAUGAUUGUGGAGGAAAGUGGGGCUCACUAUUGCUCUCUUAGCCUAGGAGCAAAAUUUCCAAAGAGAAGUGGAAUGUGUAUCAAUGGAGGAAAAGAAACUCUUCCCAAGAGACCAGAAUGGGAUUCUUUCUAGUGUUUCCUCCUCAGUGGCUUUCACUUUCAUUUUAAGGCAAGUUUGCACAGAGCCCAUUCUCCAUUCAGUCCAACCUCUAAGCACCCACAUAAACUCAAACUCAGAUUAACAAUACUAUCUCUUUUUUUUUGAGGAAGAUUAGCCCUGAGCUAACAUCUGCUGCCAAUCCUCCUCUUUUUGCUGAGGAAGACUGGCCCUGAGCUAACAUCCAUGCCCAUCUUGCUCUACUUUAUAUGUAGGACGCCUACCAUAGUGUGGCUUGCCAAGCAGUGCCAUGUCCACACCCAGGAUCUGAAACAGCGAACCCCAGACUGCCAAAGCGGAAUGUGCAAACUUAACCUUUGCGCCACCAGGCCGGCCCCUGAUGAAACUGUCUUAAAGUUGUGUCCUAAUCUCUCUUUAAAAUUUCCAAUUCCUCAUUCAAAGAGUUGAUGAGAUUCUCUCUCCUCCAUGAGGUCCUCCUUGAUUAAUUCAGACACCCACAUGAUCUGAACACCUCAGGGCCAGGGUAAACUCAGCCUGAGGAAGAAUCAUGGGACCUCAUGGAGAUCAAUCCUGAGAGUUGAAAGCACAAGGAUAGAGCCAGUCAGAGGCAAGGAAGCC